UACGGAGGGUGCGAGCGUUGUCCGGAAUCACUGGGCGUAAAGGGCGCGUAGGCGGCUCGGUAAGUAGGGGGUGAAAUCCUGCGGCUUAACCGCAGGGCUGCCUUCUAAACUGUCGAGCUCGAGCACGGUAGAGGCAGAUGGAAUUCCCGGUGUAGCGGUGGAAUGCGUAGAGAUCGGGAAGAACAUCAGUGGCGAAGGCGGUCUGCUGGGCCGUUGCUGACGCUGAUGCACGAAAGCGUGGGGAGCAAACAGG
This 253-nucleotide ribosomal RNA is filed under the name uncultured bacterium. RNAcentral's name for it is "partial 16S ribosomal RNA". It matches the Rfam family "Bacterial small subunit ribosomal RNA", at positions 524 to 776 of the family's 1533-position model. The record is from RNAcentral.